GUGGAAUAAAAUGCUGCGGCUGCGUCUGCGCAGACGCUCGUCCAGGACUGACUGGAUGAAGAUCCUAAUGAAGUUUUUCUUUCAGACUUCGACGAGCAGUUCUCUGAGUUGUACUGAAAGUCGGAGCUGUGGAAUCUGAGCAGACAUGAUGAUGAUGAUGGUUCACUGCUCUGACCUCCUCCAUCCUUCAGUCGGAGAAGGUCGAUAAUCGAAGACUCGACCGCCUUCCAUGGACCUCUCCAGCCGUGUGGGAGGGAUCAAUGUGGAGGAAAACUCAAAGAACAGAAACAUGAUCUCCAUCUUUAGAGUCGAUAAAACUUUUAAAAUGUUGGGACAUAAGAAUAGAAAGUUUUCCAUCAAGCAAAGAAAAAACAAAUCCUGUUAAAUCUGUGUGGGUCAA
Long non-coding RNA from Oryzias melastigma (Indian medaka), 400 nucleotides. RefSeq lists it as uncharacterized. The record is from RefSeq and is a predicted model, not a curated record. The transcript has 2 exons. NCBI's taxonomy places the organism in Eukaryota, Metazoa, Chordata, Actinopteri, Beloniformes, Adrianichthyidae.